Molecule: ribosomal RNA, 468 nt
Filed under: uncultured bacterium
Lineage: Bacteria
Description: partial 16S ribosomal RNA
Rfam family: Bacterial small subunit ribosomal RNA
Source: RNAcentral
GACGAACGCUGGCGGCGUGCUUAACACAUGCAAGUCGAACGGAAAGGCCCUGCUUUUGUGGGGUGCUCGAGUGGCGAACGGGUGAGUAACACGUGAGUAACCUGCCCUUGACUUUGGGAUAACUUCAGGAAACUGGGGCUAAUAUCGGAUAGGAGCUCCUGCUGCAUGGUGGGGGUUGGAAAGUUUCGGCGGUUGGGGAUGGACUCGCGGCUUAUCAGCUUGUUGGUGGGGUAGUGGCUGACCAAGGCUUUGACGGGUAGCCGGCCUGGGAGGGUGGCCGGGGACAUGGGGCCUACGAGACGGCGCAGACGGCUACGGGAGGCAGCAGGGGGGAAUAUUACACAGUGAGCGGGAGCCUGAGGCGGCAGCGCCGCGUGCGGAAUGACGGCUUUCGGGUUGAGAACAGCUUUCGCCUGUGACGAAGCGGUAGUGACGGUAAUGAGUAAAGAAGCACCGGCUAACUACGUG